Molecule: ribosomal RNA, 163 nt
Filed under: Lobulomyces poculatus
Lineage: Eukaryota; Fungi; Chytridiomycota; Chytridiomycetes; Lobulomycetales; Lobulomycetaceae
Description: partial large subunit ribosomal RNA
Rfam family: Eukaryotic large subunit ribosomal RNA
Source: RNAcentral
GGAAUAGCUCAAAUUUGAAAUCCUACUGGUUUCCAGUAUGAAUUGUAGUUUAAAGAAACGCUUUCGAAGACAAACUAAGAUUAAGUUUCUUGGGAUGGAACAUCAUAGAGGGUGAGAAUCCCGUAUGUGUUUUAGCUUUGUUUUUAUGUGAUGCGUUUUCAAA